RNAcentral lists this ribosomal RNA (466 nucleotides) under Streptococcus mutans. RNAcentral's name for it is "bacterial SSU rRNA". It matches the Rfam family "Bacterial small subunit ribosomal RNA", at positions 28 to 474 of the family's 1533-position model. The record is from RNAcentral. Lineage: Bacteria; Bacillati; Bacillota; Bacilli; Lactobacillales; Streptococcaceae.
GACGAACGCUGGCGGCGUGCCUAAUACAUGCAAGUGGGACGCAAGGGAACAUACUGUGCUUGCACACCGUGUUUUCUUGAGUCGCGAACGGGUGAGUAACGCGUAGGUAACCUGCCUAUUAGCGGGGGAUAACUAUUGGAAACGAUAGCUAAUACCGCAUAAUAUUAAUUAUUGCAUGAUAAUUGAUUGAAAGAUGCAAGCGCAUCACUAGUAGAUGGACCUGCGUUGUAUUAGCUAGUUGGCAAGGUAAGAGCUUACCAAGGCGACGAUACAUAGCCGACCUGAGAGGGUGAUCGGCCACACUGGGACUGAGACACGGCCCAGACUCCUACGGGAGGCAGCAGUAGGGAAUCUUCGGCAAUGGACGAAAGUCUGACCGAGCAACGCCGCGUGAGUGAAGAAGGUUUUCGGAUCGUAAAGCUCUGUUGUAAGUCAAGAACGUGCGUGAGAGUGGAAAGUUCACACA